GGGGGAUUAGCUCAAAUGGUAGAGCGCUGGCUUCGCAUGAGAGAGGUAGCGGCAUCAACGCCCGUAUCCUCCA
RNAcentral lists this transfer RNA (73 nucleotides) under Oreochromis niloticus (Nile tilapia). It matches the Rfam family "tRNA". From Rfam's summary of the family: Transfer RNA (tRNA) molecules are approximately 80 nucleotides in length. Their secondary structure includes four short double-helical elements and three loops (D, anti-codon, and T loops). Further hydrogen bonds mediate the characteristic L-shaped molecular structure. tRNAs have two regions of fundamental functional importance: the anti-codon, which is responsible for specific mRNA codon recognition, and the 3' end, to which the tRNAs corresponding amino acid is attached (by aminoacyl-tRNA synthetases). tRNAs cope with the degeneracy of the genetic code in two manners: having more than one tRNA (with a specific anti-codon) for a particular amino acid; and 'wobble' base-pairing, i.e. permitting non-standard base-pairing at the 3rd anti-codon position. Lineage: Eukaryota; Metazoa; Chordata; Actinopteri; Cichliformes; Cichlidae. The record is from Rfam by way of RNAcentral.